CCUACGGGUGGCAGCAGUGGGGAAUUUUCCGCAAUGGGCGAAAGCCUGACGGAGCAAUACCGCGUGUGGGAGGAAGGCCCUUGGGUUGUAAACCACUUUUAUCAGGGAAGAAGAUCUGACGGUACCUGAUGAAGAAGCAUCGGCUAACUCCGUGCCAGCAGCCGCGGUAAUACGGAGGAUGCAAGCGUUAUCCGGAAUCAUUGGGCGUAAAGCGUCCGUAGGUGGUUUGUCAAGUCUGUCGUCAAAGAAUGGAGCUUAACUCCAUAGAGGCGGUGGAAACUGAGAGACUAGAGUAUGGUAGGGGUAGUGGGAAUUCCCAGUGUAGCGGUGAAAUGCGUAGAUAUUGGGAAGAACAUCGGUGGCGAAAGCGCACUACUGGGCCAAAACUGACACUGAGGGACGAAAGCUAGGGUAGCGAAAGGGAUUAGAUACCCUUGUAGUC
Molecule: ribosomal RNA, 442 nt
Filed under: uncultured bacterium
Lineage: Bacteria
Description: bacterial SSU rRNA
Rfam family: Bacterial small subunit ribosomal RNA
Source: RNAcentral